AACGGUUCCCAUACGAUCACCGAAGUUAAUCAACGUCGAGCCUGGUCAGUAACUAGAUGGGGGAAUAUUUGGGAAUACCAGGUACU
Acanthosepion pharaonis is the source of this 86-nucleotide non-coding RNA. The record is from the annotation of a GenBank genome assembly. NCBI's taxonomy places the organism in Eukaryota, Metazoa, Mollusca, Cephalopoda, Sepiida, Sepiidae.